CCUACGGGAGGCAGCAGUGAGGAAUAUUGGUCAAUGGACGAGAGUCUGAACCAGCCAAGUAGCGUGAAGGAUGACUGCCCUAUGGGUUGUAAACUUCUUUUAUAAAGGAAUAAAACGAGGCACGUGUGCCUUUUUGCAUGUACUUUAUGUAUAAGGAUCGGCUAACUCCGUGCCAGCAGCCGCGGUAAUACGGAGGAUCCGAGCGUUAUCCGGAUUGAUUGGGUUUAAAGGGAGCGUAGAUGGGUUGUUAAGUCAGUUGUGAAAGUGUGGGGCUCAACCGUCAAAUUGCAAUUGAUACUGGCAGUCUUGAGUACAGUAGAGGUAGGCGGAAUUCGUGGUGUAGCGGUGAAAUGCGUAGAUAUCACGAAGAACCCCGAUGGCGAAGGCAGCUUACUAAACUGAGACUGACAUUGAUGCACGAAAGUGUGGGUAUCAAACAGGAUUAGAUACCCCAGUAGUC
RNAcentral lists this ribosomal RNA (460 nucleotides) under uncultured bacterium. RNAcentral describes it as "partial 16S ribosomal RNA". It matches the Rfam family "Bacterial small subunit ribosomal RNA", at positions 338 to 795 of the family's 1533-position model. The record is from RNAcentral.